CCCCUUUUAAUUUCUUUAAAAAAGUGUUAUAUUAAAGAUGUUAGGGUAACUUAACUAUAGUGAUAAACGUCUUUCGAAAUAGGCGUUGCGGACCCGGGGGCGGAACCCGGCACCUCCACCAGAAGUCUUAUGGGGGUGAAUUAGGAUCGACGUGCGUAAUAAAGGGUAGAUUUUCACUCGGCAUUGUACCACCGUAUCGGGCUAAACACAUAAAUGCAAAAAAUAUGAAUGCAUUCGGUGGUAUGGUUGCAAACUUAAAUGCGAGCAACCUCAAUGGGACACAAGUAGCUGCUCGCGCUGCUGCUUAGUCCUUUACCAUCGCGGUUCGAGGGGCACCGGGCAACAGAAGCCCCUCAUU
Molecule: transfer-messenger RNA, 358 nt
Filed under: Alphaproteobacteria bacterium
Lineage: Bacteria; Pseudomonadati; Pseudomonadota; Alphaproteobacteria
Rfam family: Alphaproteobacteria transfer-messenger RNA
About the family: Bacterial tmRNA, also known as 10Sa RNA or SsrA, is named for its dual tRNA and mRNA-like properties. Its role is to liberate the mRNA from a stalled ribosome.
Source: RNAcentral